GGAUAAGCCAUGCAAGUUGAAUGGGAUACCUAAAUUUUCCAUAGCAAACUGCUCAGUAACACAUGAUCAACUUGCCCUAUGGAGAAAAAUAACCUCGGGAAACUGAGGAUAAUAUUUCAUAGUUGAAUAGGCUUGGAAAAGUUUUUCAAUGAAAAGGAAAAGAUAAAUGGUUCUUUUCUGCCAUAGGAUAGGAUCGUGGUCGAUUAUGGUAGUUGGUGAGGUAAUGGCUCACCAAGCCGAUAAUCGAUAGGGGCCGUGAGAGCGGGAGCCCCGAGAUGGGUACUGAGACACCGACCCAGACCUUACGAGGUGCAGCAGGCGCGAGACCUCCGCAAUACACGAAAGUGUGACGGGGUUACCCAAAGUGUUCAUUUUUGAACUGUGGUAGGUGAGUAAUGUCCCCUACUAGAAAGGAGAGGGCAAGGCUGGUGCCAGCCGCCGCGGUAAAACCAGCUCUUCAAGUGGUCGGGAUGAUUAUUGGGCUUAAAGUGUCCGUAGCCGGUUUAGUAAGUUCCUGGUAAAAUCAGGUAGCUUAACUAUCUGUAUGCUGGGAAUACUACUAUACUAGAGGGCGGGAGAGGUCUGAGGUACUACAGGGGUAGGGGUGAA
Molecule: ribosomal RNA, 609 nt
Filed under: uncultured archaeon
Lineage: Archaea
Description: bacterial SSU rRNA
Rfam family: Archaeal small subunit ribosomal RNA
Source: RNAcentral